CUGGGAUUUUGUCUUUUAAGAGCAGCCUGGUCCUGUCUGCUGCAGAGCCUUUUGUCUCGCUAACCUGGAUCCUGACGGGCGCGACAAAAGGUUCUGCGGCUGCGCUGGGGAGACCUCGGCCCUGAGCACUGGCACAGUGCCUGAGGAGGCCUUUACCAGGGCUCUGGGGUUUGGGGGGGUUCCUUCUGACGUGUUUUCUAAGUUCCUUCUGUCCUGAACAAUGAAUUGGUCGGGACAAGCUCAGAAGACAGCUAGGCUCUACAUCCAUUCAAGGCAGGAAAAUAAACUUGCUGCACAGGGUGAGGACAGACCACUGGGAAAGAGAGCCUCUCUCUGGCUGGUGUCAGGUCGAGGCCUAUCAGAAACCUGCUCAAGUUCUCGCGAGAAGACUUGAAGCGAGCGCUCUGAUUGGCCCCAGGCGUGGGGCUUUGGGAACCGUUUUGCCACCGUUCCUGAAGUUUCUGUUGAACCGUCCCACCCACUUUUCCCGCGGCUUCGUCGCACCUUAAUCUCUUGCCUCAGACUCGCUCUGGGUCUGUGGCUUCUGGGAGCCCGCUGAGGGGUCUGGGCGGCGCUCUCACCUGUCCAGCACAGGUUCGUCCUGCCCAGUGCUCACAGCCCCAAACCUGAGCCCGUUCAGCAGGCUCCUCCGCUUCCACCCGAUGGACGGAGCUCUUCGCUGCUUCCGGUUCUCCCGGCACCGUUAGUAGACAUCAGAAGAGAGAAGACUACAAGUGUAGGUUGGGCCGCUUGUAAAGGCCAGGCAGCCAAGGCAAAAUGACAUCCUCCCGGGCAAGGUCGUCACUCUGAGGAGAGUCAUUGUCCCCACCUCCGUCGCACGUUGGAAGCAGAGGCAGCCCAGAGUCCGAGCCGGGGGUUUCUGAGUCGCCUCAAGCUCUGCCCCACGAGGACAGGAAACCUUUGCCAGGACCUCACCUUACAGAAUCUCACCUUUCCUGCUUUGGUGGAGAAACUACCACAAAGCAAGGAACCAAGAGAGGCUUCCAACCACAGCCAGUAGGACAUUGGAACCAUCAUCCCAGCAGCCUUGAGGAACAGACUCCUCCAAAAGUGCAGACAUAACAUGGAUGCAUGUUCUUCUCCACUAGACCCUUCAGAUGAAGCCCCUUGGCUGCACUUCCUGAAGGGCUCUAAAGCAGGAAAAGUAGCUGGAUCUUGCCUGGAUUCCUAACUCGUCAAAACUUUGAGAUAAUAAAUGUAUGUAUUUUUAAGCCACUAAAUUUUAAAGUACUCAUUACAACACAUAAGAUAACUAAUACAUCCCUAAAUCCCUGUAACUUUGGUAUAAGAUAUAGUAGACCAGGAACCAAGCUCACCUUCCUCAAAUACGGUAGCAGAGUGUCUGACAACAUCCCUGAACACAUUGCCCUCAUGUUUGAAGACUGUUCCUUAUACUUCAAAAAUAAAAUGUGUCGCUGAGUCACGCGAAAGACGCCGAAUCAGCCCGCUGCAGACAGGCAGGCCUGUGCACACCCUACCGAGGUCCUGAGUCACGCAGAAGACGCCGAAUCACCCCACUGCAGACAGGCAGCCACCUGAUUCCACAUUACCAAGGCGCAGAGGACACCAGACCACCAGACCAAGGAAGAACCUGGUAUCUAACUCCAGAAGGAGAGGUGAACAACCCAGAACUCCGUAACGUUAAAGUUGAGAAGCCACUUUUAGACAUAGGCUACGUAACAUUUUGGCAUAGCCAGCCUGGAGGAAAGCUCAGGUACAAGAGACAAAGGUCCCAAGACAAGCAGAUGGGAGAUCUAUUGGAUCUCACCACCAACAGAUUGACAUUGACCCUAGGCCACACUCUCAAUGAGUGGGAAAGUUUUGAUGAUCCUGACAAUCUAAAACAGGAGCAGCUCGGGCUGGGGAUUUAGGACUAGGACUAGCAGGAACCACCCAACCAGUCUGUAAAGCUUGCCCACUCUGUGCCUACAAUAACUCUGGCAAGUCCAAACUGCCUCCUUUAUUAGAACCUGUACAGAGAAGAGGGACAUACCCUGGAGAGGCCUGGCAAUUAGACUUUACCCAUAUACCACCAUGUGGAGGAUGUAAACAGAUGUUAGUCCUAAUUGACACAUUUAUAGGCUGGAUCGAAUCCUAAC
Long non-coding RNA from Heterocephalus glaber (naked mole-rat), 2120 nucleotides. The record is from Ensembl. Lineage: Eukaryota; Metazoa; Chordata; Mammalia; Rodentia; Bathyergidae.